UGGGAGAGAUUUCUGUAUAGUUGAUCCCAAUGGAGGCAGAAACACCAAAAUCUGAGCAGUCUCAGUCUCAGCUGAGGAACAAUUUAUGUGGAGAGAGAGAGAGAGAGAGAGAGAGAGAGAGAGAGAGAGAGAGAGAGANNNNNNNNNNNNNNNNNNNNGAGAGAGAGAGAGAAGAGAUCUUGUAACAUCUCGGAAAUUCAAUUUUCUAUUUUUAAAAGGAAAAUAUUUUUUGAGCUAUUUUUGUUUCAAUUUCUAUUAUUCUUUAAACUUUUAGUAGUUUCUGAAAAUUAUUUAAAUUUUAGUUUGUUAAAUUUUGUCUUUCGAGCCCAUUGGAUUAAGGUAGAGGUCGUUACGAGUUCGUAAGAUUUUAUGGAAGCGUUUUCAGACAUCAGACCUAUUUUUAAUGAUUUUUAAAAAUUGGUAUUAACCAAAAAUUUUAUUAAAAAUAGAAAUUAAAGAGGUUUAAUUUGGAGUGUCCAUUUUAUGAACCGCUCAAUCUGGGCCGUCUAUUUUGGACUAUAUAUUAAUGUGGAUCAGCUUGGACUCAAUUAGAUCGAGCCCAAAGUGACUUCGUCUCCAGCCUCUCGGCAACGACGGAGCGCCGAUUGCUCCACCGCCAUUCAACGGGUUCCCGGCGCAAAGCUUAUGUCUCCUGCUUCGUCUCAACUUCGUGGAAGUCCCUGUACGUGGUUUCCGUUCAAAGAGUGGAGCUCCAGUGACAAAGAAAAGGAGGAGAGAAAGUGAUUGUGUUUCCAAUUCCGGCCACGGCGACGAGUAAGGUUGGUGCUUUAGCUUCGCCUCAACUCGGCAAACGUCUCUGUGGUCUUUGUUUUACAAGACGAGCUCUGAGGAGGGAGAAUCGAAAGGAGGAAGGUUUUUGAGUUUCCCGGCGUUGUUCUUCGUUUUCCUGCGAGCUUCAAAUUCAGUUCAAGUAUCAAAGUUAGUCAAUUCUUCAACCUCUAUCUCUCUGUAUACUUGAAUUCAAGUUUGGUAAAGUUUUGGAGAGAUUGAGAUUUUGGGCAGGUCGUCGACCACUGUAUUGUGUGCGGUGGCGGUGCUGACCUCCUCAGCUCGUCCUUGAUUCAGUUUUUGUUCAUAAAUAUGGAUUGAUGAUUAGUAUGCUUUUCUAGAAUUGUUGAAAUUACAGAAAUGGAGAAUUGGAGAAGUUGGGAUUUUAAGUCUUCGGCGACAGAAACGGCGGUGUGGCAGUGUUUUGGUGUUUGUUUGGUAAUUUCCAAUCGAAUGAAACUACAGGAAUGAUUUUGAUAUUGUUAUGCUUGAAUUCUAGUUUUGUUAACGGAUGAAGAAUCUGACUUUUGGGCAGUGAGUUUAGCAUGAUGGAAGCAUGCAUGCUGAAUUGGAGUUGAGUCGGUUGUUGUGGCGCAAUAUGGAUACUACACGGAUUUAAGUGCAAAGACGAAUUAGGAUGUGGACGUAAAAUGAAUUGAGUAGGUUGAUUGGGAAAUUAUUGAAAAAGGUGAGAGGAUAUAAGACAUAGGUAUUUGGGUGUCCACAUCAAUUCCGAGAACUUGAUCGAUUCAUAUUUUGGAAAUAAGAGAUUUAGUUGAUAUGAAGUAAUUCGCCAACUUUAUUGGAAUAACGAUGUGUGGAUCGGAGGUGUGUUGCCAUCGUAGAAGCAGAAUGAUAAAGAUUUCAUAAUGCGCGUAGUUGCGUUACUAAUUUCAGUUAGCGUCGGAGCUAAAGCUCAGAUUCCAGAUAGGGUCUCUCGGGGAACUUUUCUAUAAAUUGAUAAUUAGAUUAUUAUUGAAAUCGGUGAAUUGUAUGCCAUUGAGUGUUAACUCUUGAAUGUUAUUGUUUUUGUUAAAAGCAUGUGAUAUCGGUGAUUUAUAUUUUCUAUAAAUUGAUAAUUAGAUUAUUAUUGAAAUCGGUGAAUUGUAUGCCAUUGAGUGUUAACUCUUGAAUGUUAUUGUUUUUGUUAAAAGCAUGUGAUAUCGGUGAUUUAUAUGAUUGUUGUUAUCGCUUUCAAUAAAAGCAUGUGUUCGAUAUUAUAAUGCGAGUGUUGAUAUUCAUUGACAUGCAUAAUGCAUUAUGAGGAAUUGUGAGAAAUAGUGAGAAUAGUGAUUUUGGAGAGGAGAAUGAGAUUGAUAGAAAAGAUAUAUUUUGUGUAGUUGAGUUUCCUCAUGGGGACUUCUAGUAGCUAUGAUUAGCUCACCUGCGCAAAUGAGUGGGAAAAGUAUGCCCCUUCGACAUAUGAGUCGAUAAAACGAUCUUUCGGGUUUCGAGAUUGGGGACCAUGAGGUUAACAAAAUGACUAAUAAAAGAGGUACUAGAGUUUGUAUAUUACUGAUUUGUUAUGUCGUAUAUUUAAGACAUCUACACGGUAUAGGACGUGUAGGUACAUAUGUCUUGGGUGUAUAGACUAAUUAGCUAGUAAUCGAGUGGAGGGAGUACAUUAACAUUUAUACAUCGAUUUGUUGUUAUUUAUUUAAAGUAUUGUUUGAUGUUUGAUAACUUGAUUGUGUGACGUAGUUAAGAAUAACUUAAGAGGUUUGGCCCUACUGAGCGUAAACUCACCCCUAUAGAUUUUUGUUCAGGUUCGUACGAGGACACGUAUUUUUAGAAGGCUAACAGUGACAUUAGCUUACGUGAACAAGAGGCGAGAGUUAUGGAAGAUUAGAAGUGAGAUAGAUCGCAAGACCUUGUUUUGUCUUUGUAAUUGUGUUUGUUAUUGUAAAUGUUUUCUAUUUUUGACGAUUUCUGAAAAUGUAUUUGAGUUUGUUUUAUUUUAUUUUAUUUUUCCCACUCACGCCUCUUAUUCGUUGUCAAGUGCUUGGAAACCACCGACACCGGGUCUGGGUCGUUGUUAAGUGCUUGGAAACCACCGACACCGAGUUUGGGGUGUGACAGAUCUGGUGCUAUUUGUGAAUUUUGAGAAGUAACAACAAUUUACGUUUUAUCCAUUCGAUUUCAAUGAAAUGAUGUGGCAUAAUCCUAUGGCUUUCCAAGCAGUGGCUUCCCAGGCAGAGAAGCCAAGUCCAUAUUUAGCUUUGUUGUUUAUAUAGGAGUCUCUAUUUUCUUCCACAUACAAUGUGAUUUUUUUUUUUGGUAAGCGGGUUAAGGACUAAUGUUUACUCGUAUUACCCGAAAAUUUAUUAAUAACAAAAAAAUUGACACAAGUAAUUUUUUUCUACUAUUAUAAUCCAAGAUCUUGCCAGACAAUCGUACGUACAUAAGAACAAACUAAUGACCAAUUACAAAUAAAUUAAAGAAAACCUUAAGUUUCUUUAAAAACUUCAAUUUUUGAGCCUUUGAUUAAAUUUCACAAAAUCUCUUCUUUUUAUUACAAUAUAGCAUUAUAUUAGUUAACGUUUGGGGUUAUCUCUGAGAAAAGCGUUAUUCUUAAUUUUUCGAAAGAUAAUAACGGCAUGACGUUUUAUAUCUUUCUCAGAUCUACAUGUUUCAAAAAGCUUUAUCAUUUCUUCUCUCUCUCUCUCUCUCUCUCUCUCUCUCUCUCUCUCUCUCUCUCUCUCN
RNAcentral lists this long non-coding RNA (3492 nucleotides) under Fragaria vesca (wild strawberry). RNAcentral's name for it is "long non-coding RNA (FVES_LNC001054)". Lineage: Eukaryota; Viridiplantae; Streptophyta; Magnoliopsida; Rosales; Rosaceae. The record is from RNAcentral.